RNAcentral lists this long non-coding RNA (1350 nucleotides) under Bos grunniens (domestic yak). RNAcentral's name for it is "lncRNA (ENSBGRG00000007522.1)". The record is from RNAcentral. Lineage: Eukaryota; Metazoa; Chordata; Mammalia; Artiodactyla; Bovidae.
AUGGAGGAAGCCAAAGCUGCUUUGAAGAGUUUCGUGGUGACAGCCGUGGGCUUAAAAGUGAUAUUUGAUCACUUAGGUCCCUCAGAAGUUCUACAUCGGGUGCAGAAUUUUCAAAAGGAAGGGGUUUGGGAGCGGCAGUCUGAUGGAAAACUGAACCCGAGGACAGGAGCUCUGUUUGCACAGCAGUGUUUUUAUUUUUAUUUGGAUAUUUUGUGGGGAAGAGGGAGCAGUCUUUCCAGCUACUCCAUGGCAUCCAUCAAUGCAAGAACGUGAGUCAGCCAUAAGUAUACAUAUAUACCCACCCUCCUGAGCCUCCCUCCUGCUGGAACCAACACAUUUUAAAAGAAACAUUUCAGAAAAUCCACAGAGAGAAAAUUUAUAUGACUUUUCAGAUCUGGUGAGUAUCAUAAAAUAUUUAUUUCAGGUAUAAUCCAUGGUCAUUUCACUUCAUCUUUCAAAUAUUUAACAUUUUUAAACCUAUUAAUAAAAAAAUUAACUCUUAAGUUUAUGAAGAAUAUUAGGUAUAAGCUUAAAAUGUGGAAGGAAGUACAUAGGUUUUCAAAACCCUUUUAGGAUGGUUGUUGUUGAGUCACUAAAUCACGUCUGACUCUUUGCAACCCCAUGAACUAUAGCAUGGAAUUUGAUCAAAUUUAUGUCCAUUGAGUUAGUAAUACCAUCGAAGCAUCUCACCCUCUGCACCACCCUACCUUCUCCUUCUGCCUUCAGUCUUUCCCAGCAUCAAGGUCUUUUCCAGUGAGUCAGCUCUUCAAAUCAGAUGGCCAAAGCAUUGGAGCUUCAACUUCAGCAUCAGUCCGUCCAAUGAAUAUUCAGGGUUGAUUUCCUUUAAGAUAGACUAGUUUGAUCUCCUUGCAGUCCAAGGGACUCUCAAGAGUCGUCUCCAUAGUUAGAAAGCACUCAGCCUUCUUUGGCACUCAGCCUUCUUUGUGUCCAGCUCUCACAUCCUUAUGACUACUGGAAAAACUAUAGCUUUGACUAGACGGACCUUUGUCGGCAAAGUCAUCUCUGCUUUUUAAUACGCAAUUCAGGUCUGUCACAGCUUUCCCUCCAAGGAGCAAGCGUCCCUUAAUUUCACAGCUGCAGUCACCGUCCACAGCGAUUCUGGAGCCCAAGAAAAUAAAAUCUGUCACUACUUCCACUUUUCCCCCUCUAUCUGCUGUGAAGUUAUGGGACUGGAUGCCAUGAUCUUAUUCUUCCCAAUGUUGAGUUUCAAGCCAGCUUCUCCACUCUCCACUUUCACCCUCAUCAAGAGGCUUUUUACUUCCUCUUCACUUUCUGCCAUUAGAGUGGUAUCAUAUGCAUAUCUGAGAUUGUUGAUAUUUCUCCCAGCUA